UACGUAGGGUGCAAGCGUUAAUCGGAAUUACUGGGCGUAAAGCGUGCGCAGGCGGUUGUGCAAGACAGAUGUGAAAUCCCCGGGCUCAACCUGGGAACUGCAUUUGUGACUGCAUGACUGGAGUACGGCAGAGGGGGAUGGAAUUCCGCGUGUAGCAGUGAAAUGCGUAGAUAUGCGGAGGAACACCGAUGGCGAAGGCAGUCCCCUGGGCCUGUACUGACGCUCAUGCACGAAAGCGUGGGGAGCAAACAGG
RNAcentral lists this ribosomal RNA (253 nucleotides) under uncultured bacterium. RNAcentral describes it as "partial 16S ribosomal RNA". It matches the Rfam family "Bacterial small subunit ribosomal RNA", at positions 524 to 776 of the family's 1533-position model. The record is from RNAcentral.